RNAcentral lists this ribosomal RNA (561 nucleotides) under Enterococcus casseliflavus. RNAcentral's name for it is "bacterial SSU rRNA". It matches the Rfam family "Bacterial small subunit ribosomal RNA", at positions 93 to 641 of the family's 1533-position model. Lineage: Bacteria; Bacillati; Bacillota; Bacilli; Lactobacillales; Enterococcaceae. The record is from RNAcentral.
GAGUGGCGAACGGGUGAGUAACACGUGGGUAACCUGCCCAUCAGAAGGGGAUAACACUUGGAAACAGGUGCUAAUACCGUAUAACACUAUUUUCCGCAUGGAAGAAAGUUGAAAGGCGCUUUUGCGUCACUGAUGGAUGGACCCGCGGUGCAUUAGCUAGUUGGUGAGGUAACGGCUCACCAAGGCAACGAUGCAUAGCCGACCUGAGAGGGUGAUCGGCCACACUGGGACUGAGACACGGCCCAGACUCCUACGGGAGGCAGCAGUAGGGAAUCUUCGGCAAUGGACGAAAGUCUGACCGAGCAACGCCGCGUGAGUGAAGAAGGUUUUCGGAUCGUAAAACUCUGUUGUUAGAGAAGAACAAGGAUGAGAGUAAAACGUUCAUCCCUUGACGGUAUCUAACCAGAAAGCCACGGCUAACUACGUGCCAGCAGCCGCGGUAAUACGUAGGUGGCAAGCGUUGUCCGGAUUUAUUGGGCGUAAAGCGAGCGCAGGCGGUUUCUUAAGUCUGAUGUGAAAGCCCCCGGCUCAACCGGGGAGGGUCAUUGGAAACUGGGAGAC